Molecule: ribosomal RNA, 382 nt
Filed under: uncultured bacterium
Lineage: Bacteria
Description: bacterial SSU rRNA
Rfam family: Bacterial small subunit ribosomal RNA
Source: RNAcentral
ACGGCUGAGUAACGCGUAGGAAUCUACCCCGAAGUGAGGGAUAAGCACCAGAAAUGGUGUCUAAUACCGCAUGUGCUCUUAGGAGUAAAGCUUCGGCGCUUUGGGAAGAGCCUGCGUAUGAUUAGCUUGUUGGUGAGGUAAGAGCUCACCAAGGCGACGAUCAUUAGCUGGUCUGAGAGGAUGAUCAGCCAGACUGGGGCUGAGAACGGCCCAGACUCCUACGGGAGGCAGCAGUAGGGAAUCUUCCACAAUGGGCGAAAGCCUGAUGGAGCAACGCCGCGUGCAGGAUGAAUGCCUUCGGGUUGUAAACUGCUUUUAUAUGUGAAGAUUAUGACGGUAGCAUAUGAAUAAGGAUCGGCUAACUCCGUGCCAGCAGCCGCGG